This 512-nucleotide ribosomal RNA is filed under the name uncultured bacterium. RNAcentral describes it as "partial 16S ribosomal RNA". It matches the Rfam family "Bacterial small subunit ribosomal RNA", at positions 28 to 507 of the family's 1533-position model. The record is from RNAcentral.
GAUGAACGCUGGCGGCGUGCCUAAUACAUGCAAGUCGAACGAAACUUCUUUAUCACCGAGUGCUUGCACUCACCGAUAAAGAGUUGAGUGGCGAACGGGUGAGUAACACGUGGGCAACCUGCCCCAAAGAGGGGGAUAACACUUGGAAACAGGUGCUAAUACCGCAUAACCAUAGUUACCGCAUGGUAACUAUGUAAAAGGUGGCUAUACUACCGCUUUUGGAUGGGCCCGCGGCGCAUUAGCUAGUUGGUAGGGUAAAGGCUUACCAAGGCAAUGAUGCGUAGCCGAAUUGAGAGGUUGAUCGGCCACAUUGGGACUGAGACACGGCCCAAACUCCUACGGGAGGCAGCAGUAGGGAAUCUUCCGCAAUGGGCGAAAGCCUGAUGGAGCAACGCCGCGUGAGUGAAGAAGGUCUUCGGAUCGUAAAACCCUGUUGUUAGAGAAGAAAGUGCGUGAGAGUAACUGUUCACGUUUCGACGGUAUCUAACCAGAAAGCCACUGCUAACUACGUG